This 272-nucleotide ribosomal RNA is filed under the name uncultured bacterium. RNAcentral's name for it is "partial 16S ribosomal RNA". It matches the Rfam family "Bacterial small subunit ribosomal RNA", at positions 496 to 768 of the family's 1533-position model. The record is from RNAcentral.
GAGUACAGGUGCCAGCCGCCGCGGUAAUACGGAGGGUGCAAGCGUUAAUCGGAAUUACUGGGCGUAAAGCGCACGCAGGCGGUCUGUCAAGUCGGAUGUGAAAUCCCCGGGCUCAACCUGGGAACUGCAUUCGAAACUGGCAGGCUUGAGUCUCGUAGAGGGGGGUAGAAUUCCAGGUGUAGCGGUGAAAUGCGUAGAGAUCUGGAGGAAUACCGGUGGCGAAGGCGGCCCCCUGGACGAAGACUGACGCUCAGGUGCGCAAGCGUGGGGAG